GUGAACGAUGUGCCUGUGUCUCCUGAACAGGAUUCAGAGGUAGUCCUAAGGAAACUGGGAGAACAGUGCAGCCCUGCUACCCUAAGAAACAAUAGACUGGCACAAAACGUUAUGCCCUGGCCACAGCCCUGCCUGGGCAGGUCAGGCCCCUGCAUGUAACGAAGAGAAACGAGAGCUAAAAGUGAGACCACAGAGCUCCCCUGUAAGGCCCAGCCUCUCUCACUUCCUCAGCAGGGAAAUUACUGGAAGCUGAACAGCAGUAAAAGGCAAAAAGGACCUAACCUUUUCAGCCUGACAUUACCACUGACUGUGGCCCUGUGAUUACACCAGCAGCAAAAUGUCAUGCUGUGACUAACACGACAAAGGCCAUGUUAUAGUCCGAGAGGCUAAAUUAAAGGAGCCUGAAUUUUGGUUGGUGAAUCUCAAAGAACGGUCCUUAAACGUUCAUUCAGAUCCCCAGGGUAAGGACAAAGCCAGUCAGCAUUAUUCGCCAUCAACAAGACUCUUCUGAUACACACAAGGAACACGUUUGUGCAUCUCUCCAGAGAUCAGCAUCAGCUAUCCCACACACAAAGGCAGACAGGGCUGCCUCCACAAAGAAGCAGAGCAGCUGCUGGAUGAAGACUUCUGCGAUGCUCUCCUGACAGAUCCGCAUCGAACCGCCUUUGAGCCUCAUUCUCAUACCACGCAAAAAGCAACAGCUCGUUGUGCCUUCAUUUUCUCUCCCACGAUCACAGCAAUGCAGCAUCCUUCUCUUCAUUACCUCCUGUGGCAGUUGUGUUGAGAGAAGGCACAAGGACAGUAAGCGUAAUACAUUAUCCAAAUGGCAAGUGGCUUUCACAGCCACAGAGAGCUGCUGCUGCUUCCUGAGAUGCCAUUACUUUCCAGCGUUUUUCCAGUGCUCUCCACUCCAAUUCACACUCAAAACCAGAGGUGUUGAGAGGGAGCACAGCACUGAGCGGUCUCUCCGGCCCUGCGGACACUCGUGCUGUGGGCUGAGCCUGCACAGGAAGGGUGAGCAGUGGCAGCACGUUGAGCAGGCAGGUCGAAGCGAGAAAGAAGCAAACAGUGGCAUAAGGUGAGAACAAACACACACUUCUAAAGCUGGACUCGGUGCCAGGGGCCUCAGGAAGUUAUACCCUCAUUUUCCUCAGCUGUGAUAGGGGGACACUGCUAUCUGCCUGUUAUGUGGCAGGAUGAGGACAAACAUUAAAUAUUAUGAGACACUCUGCAGAUAAA
This 1239-nucleotide long non-coding RNA is filed under the name Gallus gallus (chicken). RNAcentral's name for it is "long non-coding RNA NONGGAT008635". Lineage: Eukaryota; Metazoa; Chordata; Aves; Galliformes; Phasianidae. The record is from RNAcentral.